UACGUAGGGUGCGAGCGUUAAUCGGAAUUACUGGGCGUAAAGGGUGCGCAGGCGGUUAUAUAAGACAGAUGUGAAAUCCCCGGGCUCAACCUGGGAACUGCGUUUGUGACUGUAUGACUAGAGUACGGUAGAGAGGGGUGGAAUUCCUGGUGUAGCAGUGAAUGACGUAGAUAUCAGGAGGAACAUCGAUGGCGAAGGCAGCCCCUUGGACCUGUACUGACGCUCAUGCACGAAAGCGUGGGGAGCAAACAGG
RNAcentral lists this ribosomal RNA (253 nucleotides) under uncultured bacterium. Its description in RNAcentral is "partial 16S ribosomal RNA". It matches the Rfam family "Bacterial small subunit ribosomal RNA", at positions 524 to 776 of the family's 1533-position model. The record is from RNAcentral.